CAAGUCGAUGCCGAAGAACUCACUGCUUUUAUCUUAAAUGGUUUAGAUGAUGAUUAUGAUUCUGUUGUAUCGGCUUUAGCGGCCAAAACUGAACCUAUUACUCUAUCAGAAACAUAUGCCCAGCUAUUGAACUUUGAGA
This is a small nucleolar RNA of Oryza rufipogon (brownbeard rice), 139 nucleotides long. It matches the Rfam family "Small nucleolar RNA Z247". Rfam says of the family: Z247 is a member of the C/D class of snoRNA which contain the C (UGAUGA) and D (CUGA) box motifs. Most of the members of the box C/D family function in directing site-specific 2'-O-methylation of substrate RNAs. The record is from Rfam. Lineage: Eukaryota; Viridiplantae; Streptophyta; Magnoliopsida; Poales; Poaceae.